UGGGCGGAAUAACAUUUUGAUGAUACAUCAAAUACAUUGACCAGAACUUCAGCAACAAUAAGAUUAUCGUGGAGCAAGCUUAAACUGAUAUUUAAAAAUAAAAAUACAUAAAGGAACAGAUUUGGGAACCCGUCAAUGUAAAAAUUUACAAUAGCAGCCUGAAACACAAGAUCUACGUAUCAGAGCUACAAUAUGCAAUUCUCUACUACCGUUUUGGUGAUGUAAGUUGCCUCAGGUUGUACUUGGCCAACUCCUUGUACUUUUCAACCACGCCAAUCAAGCACACAGUCUUCUGCGGCUCUCGAGUAUCCACAGGAA
Molecule: unclassified non-coding RNA, 318 nt
Filed under: Hevea brasiliensis (rubber tree)
Lineage: Eukaryota; Viridiplantae; Streptophyta; Magnoliopsida; Malpighiales; Euphorbiaceae
Source: RNAcentral